AGUGAACGCUGGCGGUAGGCCUAACACAUGCAAGUCGAACGGCAGCACAGUAAGAGCUUGCUCUUACGGGUGGCGAGUGGCGGACGGGUGAGGAAUACAUCGGAAUCUACUUUUUCGUGGGGGAUAACGUAGGGAAACUUACGCUAAUACCGCAUACGACCUACGGGUGAAAGCAGGGGAUCUUCGGACCUUUCGCGAUUGAUUGAGCUGAUGUCGGAUUAGCUAGUUGGCGUGGUAAAGGCCCACCAAGGCGACGAUCCGUAGCUGGUCUGAGAGGAUGAUCAGCCACACUGGAACUGAGACACGGUCCAGACUCCUACGGGAGGCAGCAGUGGGGAAUAUUGGGCAAUGGGCGCAAGCCUGAUCCAGCCAUACCGCGUGAGUGAAGAAGGCCUUCGGGUUGUAAAGCCCUUUUAUUGGGAAAGAAAAGAAGCAGGUUAAUACCCCGCUGUUCCGACGGUACCCAAAGAAUAAGCACCGGCUAACUUCGUG
Molecule: ribosomal RNA, 492 nt
Filed under: uncultured bacterium
Lineage: Bacteria
Description: partial 16S ribosomal RNA
Rfam family: Bacterial small subunit ribosomal RNA
Source: RNAcentral